Long non-coding RNA from Passer montanus (Eurasian tree sparrow), 957 nucleotides. RefSeq lists it as uncharacterized. The transcript is spliced from 3 exons. The record is from RefSeq and is a predicted model, not a curated record. Lineage: Eukaryota; Metazoa; Chordata; Aves; Passeriformes; Passeridae.
UGACAGCAAGUCCCACCUGGGGGAACAGCCCAGGAAAGCCAAAGGGCACUGAAACUGAGGCGUGAGGCAAGCACCAGUUUUGGCUUUUCCUCCUCUCAGAACUUCUCUGAGCUGAACACUGCUGGAACUAGGAGAGAUUGACUCUUAUCUCACAGUAUGAACAUGACCAGUGGCUACAGUUCCCUCUGUUGGUUUCACUGUGAGAGACCACAUCAGGUGUUUUGCACAGGCUGUCCACCACACUGACUGCCUUUUGGCACCAAGUACCUGUGGAGAAAGAAGACAACGUUUGCAGAGAACUUUUAAAACUUUAAAACAUUUGGGAGAGCCGCUGCCAGAGGGCGCUGCUGGCCAGCCCAGACAUGGCCACAGAGCAUUUCCCUGCUGGCACAGGUCAGGGAACUGGAACACCGCAUCUCCCUGGCUGGCAUCCCUUGUUCAACCCCUAAGCACUGGGACAGCACAGCCUGGGCACUGGAAUGCCUUCUGUGAUUUCUCCUUGGGAAACAGAGCUGCUGUGCAGAGUGCCUGUGUCCUUCAGGAGCAGCAGAUGAGAUGGGAUGCUUAUGGAGGAUGCUAUGUGAUAGGAGUGCAGAAAUUCUGCCAUGGGAUGGUGGCUUCCACGGUGCUAUUCUCACAAUUGACAGUUAGCUUUGUAUUCCUGACAUUUGGUGGGAGCAGGGCAGGGCAGGGAGAAUUAAACAAAGAAAAAUGCAUGUUUUCUACAUUCCAACAACAUCAAAACACCAGGGCUAAUGAAAUCCGAGCUCUACCAUGCCAGAAAAUAACUUAGAAGCACAAACUGGGAGCUGGCAACGUAGAGAUGCUGGGGCAGUGCCUCAAACACAAAUCCAUGAUGAAGGAAAAAUGCUGACAAAUUCACACAGGUGCUUCCUUCAUGUCCCUAAUCCAGUAGAUUUCUGAAUGCUUCCACCAUGAGAAUAAAGUAAGGAGGAG